Theobroma cacao (cacao) is the source of this 1288-nucleotide long non-coding RNA. RefSeq lists it as uncharacterized. Lineage: Eukaryota; Viridiplantae; Streptophyta; Magnoliopsida; Malvales; Malvaceae. The record is from RefSeq and is a predicted model, not a curated record.
ACUACGUCGUUCUGGUAUUCGCUAACAUUUUAAACCAUUUUUCCUUUCCUCUCUUGUUUUACCACUCCAAGCCAGCCAACUUCCAAACGCGCCUUCUUCUUCGUCUUCCUCUCCCGCUUCGACAAUUCUCUUUGCCUUCUUUGCAUUAAACUGGGAAGAAAAAAUGAAAAGAAGAGAAAAGAGACUAACUUUUUGAAGGAUUGGCUUUUUGUCUUUGAACUUUGCCAUUUCUGUUUUCAUUCCUAUGUUGUCACUCAUUGCUGCUCUGGAGAUUGAUGACAACUGUUAGUGUUACAUUUAGCCCAUCAAGAGUGGACCGAGGGUGGGGGGAUGAUAGUCCUGCUAUAAUGCAUAUUUAUGCUUCAAAAUUUGCAGCAAGUUGUGUUGCAUGAGACAAAUGGGAGUAAGGAAAUGAUAUGACUACCUCUUGACUCUCUUUUUGUCUUUUUUCUUUGUUGUGAAUACCUUAACUGCCGGUUUCUCUUCUCUUUCUCUCUCUCCUUUCUGCUAUGAUUGUUGAUCAUAAAAUCUACCCCUACCACAGUUGUUUGUCACUUGUGCCAAGCCUUAGGGAAGGGAGACUUUCUUUUAUAAGCAUAAUACAUGCUCAUGAUUUAGGGGAGCCUCUUCUGGACAGCCUGUAUUUCUUGGAACCUUUGUCAUUAAAUGUACUUAUGUUAGACAUCACAUGAGAAUUGUAUGGUUCGGCCAAGAGAGAGAGAGAGAGAGAGAGAACCAUGGGAUGUAGAAUGUUUAAGAGCAUUAACUUCACAAUGCCCAGACUGAUAAGUUGAUGUUUGAUUCAUGAAUAGAUUGACACGUUCACUUGACGUGAAGGAAACUCAUAUGAUAUGUAAAUUGACUAUACUUAGAUGCCAUGGCCUUUUUAUGAAGAUUAGUUUGCUUUAUCGUCUUUGACAUAUUCCUUUUUAUGUGGCUGGUCUAUCUACACAAUCCAUUAUGGAAUUAUCUUAAGUUAUUAAUAAACUGUUAUCUUAGUGAUUACUACUGAAGUAGGUUUCAGUUAUUAAAGAAUCUCUUUUCGUUGGUAAACUGUUAUCUUAGUGAUUACUACCAAAGCAGGUUUCAGUUAUUACCAAAUUGCUUUUCCUUUUUGUCCUCUGGGCUGGGGGAGUGUGGGAGUGAUUAUCAGCUUGGCAAGUUACGAAUAUAAAUGAGUAUUCCUGGAACAUGGUUUCGCACUUUACCUUACAUGGACCCCAUCUAUGAGUUUUACAAAUUAGCGGGUAAUAACGGCGAUGUAGCCACUCGUGUCAACUCUAGAAAA